This 273-nucleotide ribosomal RNA is filed under the name uncultured prokaryote. RNAcentral describes it as "partial 16S ribosomal RNA". It matches the Rfam family "Bacterial small subunit ribosomal RNA", at positions 524 to 796 of the family's 1533-position model. The record is from RNAcentral.
UACGGAGGGUGCGAGCGUUAAUCGGAAUGACUGGGCGUAAAGCGUGCGUAGGCGGUAACGACAGUCAGCCGUGAAAGCCCUGGGCUUAACCUGGGAAUGGCGGUUGAUACGGCGUAACUUGAGUGGGCUAGAGGGCUGUGGAAUUCCGGGUGUAGCGGUGAAAUGCGUAGAGAUCCGGAGGAACACCGAUGGCGAAGGCAGCGGUCUGGGGCCACACUGACGCUGAGGCACGAAAGCGUGGGGAGCAAACAGGAUUAGAAACCCCAGUAGUCC